RNAcentral lists this ribosomal RNA (463 nucleotides) under uncultured bacterium. Its description in RNAcentral is "partial 16S ribosomal RNA". It matches the Rfam family "Bacterial small subunit ribosomal RNA", at positions 28 to 507 of the family's 1533-position model. The record is from RNAcentral.
GAUGAACGCUGACAGAAUGCUUAACACAUGCAAGUCUUUGGCGAAGCUGUGCUUGCACAGCCUAGCCAAGGCGGACGGGUGAGUAACGCGUAAGGAACUUGCCCUGCAGUCAGGGAUAACAGACGGAAACGACUGAUAAGACCUGGUAAAGUCAGGCGGACUCAUGUCCAGCCUGAUGAAAAGUGAUGCUGCAGGAGAGCCUUGCGUCCUAUUAGCUUGUUGGUGGGGUAACGGCCCACCAAGGCGAUGAUAGGUAGCCGGCCUGAGAGGGUGGACGGCCACAAGGGGACUGAGAUACGGCCCUUACUCCUACGGGAGGCAGCAGUGGGGAAUAUUGGACAAUGGGGGCAACCCUGAUCCAGCAAUUCUGUGUGCACGAUGAAGGUUUUCGGAGUGUAAAGUGCUUUCAGCAGGGAAGAAAAAAAUGACGGUACCUGCAGAAGAAGCGACGGCUAAAUACGUG